Molecule: ribosomal RNA, 398 nt
Filed under: Escherichia coli
Lineage: Bacteria; Pseudomonadati; Pseudomonadota; Gammaproteobacteria; Enterobacterales; Enterobacteriaceae
Description: bacterial SSU rRNA
Rfam family: Bacterial small subunit ribosomal RNA
Source: RNAcentral
AAAUUGAAGAGUUUGAUCAUGGCUCAGAUUGAACGCUGGCGGCAGGCCUAACACAUGCAAGUCGAACGGUAACAGGAAACAGCUUGCUGUUUCGCUGACGAGUGGCGGACGGGUGAGUAAUGUCUGGGAAACUGCCUGAUGGAGGGGGAUAACUACUGGAAACGGUAGCUAAUACCGCAUAACGUCGCAAGACCAAAGAGGGGGACCUUAGGGCCUCUUGCCAUCGGAUGUGCCCAGAUGGGAUUAGCUAGUAGGUGGGGUAAAGGCUCACCUAGGCGACGAUCCCUAGCUGGUCUGAGAGGAUGACCAGCCACACUGGAACUGAGACACGGUCCAGACUCCUACGGGAGGCAGCAGUGGGGAAUAUUGCACAAUGGGCGCAAGCCUGAUGCAGCCAU